UUAUUCUGCUGCAUUCGUCUGUUUCGAUUUCUCCUGUGCUAUUAUGUGUGUGUGUGUGUGUGCGUGCGUGCCGCCACCACCCCCUUCUCCUCCUCCCUCUCUCUUGUCCGCGGCGUUCAUGUUGUUUGGUGUCGUUUUGGUUUGAUGGCGAUGAGCAUUUUCUGUGUGUGGUGUAAAAGGACGACGCGGCACCAGUCUCCCCCCCCUGCCACGGCUCCCGAGUUCUCUCUCCACGCCUCUGUCUCCCACCCGCCCACCCCUCUCCCACAAGGUGGCGUACGUCGUGUUCGUAAUAGGAGAGGGUUUAAGAAGUAACGUGUACGCGUGUGUGCAUGCAUGAGCGGACGAUGGACGCGGAUACCCAUGUGCGCCUGCGUUGCGGAGUUCAGCCGCGCACGGACUGAGACGUAUCCAUGAUGCACCACGGACGUGCGAGGUACGCACACACGCACACAUGUGCGCACGAAUGUGCCUCCAUACAUGCACGAGAGAGAGAAGCCGAAGACACAAACGCAGACGUGGAAGGUAGAAGGAAAGGUGGCGGUCUCUGUGAUUGUUCAAUGCAGGUCGAGGGCCCGUUCGCUUGAUGCUUACUGUGCCUGUUUGUGCGUAAGCUGGUUACACUCAUGCGCAGAC
This 636-nucleotide unclassified non-coding RNA is filed under the name Leishmania donovani. Its description in RNAcentral is "gene:unknown". The record is from RNAcentral. Lineage: Eukaryota; Euglenozoa; Kinetoplastea; Trypanosomatida; Trypanosomatidae.